AGAACUGAUAUUCCGACAGGUGGAAUGACGGAGUAACGUCCCGAAACGCCUGCCUUAAUACUGCGAUAUGCGUUGAUUUUUGCAGUAAAAAUCAUGGUAUAAAGCUCGCAGAAGUCGGCAGAAGUACACCCAAACAGUAAGGCUGUGGAAAUUGUUCCAGAGGUGGAAUAUGUGUAUGAUAUGCCGGAGGUCUAUAAA
RNAcentral lists this non-coding RNA (198 nucleotides) under bovine gut metagenome. The record is from RNAcentral.